UACGGAGGAGGCAAGCGUUAUCCGGAAUUAUUGGGCGUAAAGCGUCCGCAGGUGGCACCUCAAGUCUGCUGUCAAAGACCGGGGCUUAACCCCAGAAAGGCAGUGGAAACUGAAGUGCUAGAGUGCAGUAGGGGUAGAGGGAAUUCCCGGUGUAGCGGUGAAAUGCGUAGAUAUCUGGAGGAACACCGGUGGCGAAGGCGGCAUCCUGGACCGAUACUGACGCUGAGGAGCGAAAGCCAGGGGAGCAAACGGG
This 253-nucleotide ribosomal RNA is filed under the name uncultured bacterium. Its description in RNAcentral is "partial 16S ribosomal RNA". It matches the Rfam family "Bacterial small subunit ribosomal RNA", at positions 524 to 776 of the family's 1533-position model. The record is from RNAcentral.